AUUGAACGCUGGCGGCAGGCCUAACACAUGCAAGUCGAGCGAGCGGCGGACGGGUGAGUAAUGUAUGGGGAACUGCCCGAUAGAGGGGGAUAACUACUGGAAACGGUGGCUAAUACCGCAUACUAUCGGAUGAACCCAUAUGGGAUUAGCUGGUAGGUGGGGUAAAGGCUCACCAAGGCGAAGAUCCCUAGCUGGUCUGAGAGGAUGACCAGCCACACUGGAACUGAGACACGGUCCAGACUCCUACGGGAGGCAGCAGGGGGGAAUCUUUGGCAAUGGGCGAAAGUCUGACCCAGCAAUGCCGCGUGAGUGAAGAAGUUUUUCGGAUCGUAAAACUCUGUUAGUAGAGAGGCGUUACCUAAACAGGAAGCCACGGCUAACUCCGUGCCAGCAGCCGCGGUAAUAC
Molecule: ribosomal RNA, 406 nt
Filed under: uncultured bacterium
Lineage: Bacteria
Description: partial 16S ribosomal RNA
Rfam family: Bacterial small subunit ribosomal RNA
Source: RNAcentral